GUUAUAUGGUCAAGUGAAGAAGCGCAUACGGUGGAUGCCUUGGCAGUCAGAGGCGAUGAAAGACGUGGUAGCCUGCGAAAAGCUUCGGGGAGUCGGCAAACAGACUGUGAUCCGGAGAUGUCUGAAUGGGGGAACCCAGCCAUCAUAAGAUGGUUAUCUUGUACUGAAUACAUAGGUGCAAGAGGCGAACCAGGGGAACUGAAACAUCUAAGUACCCUGAGGAAAAGAAAUCAACCGAGAUUCCCUUAGUAGUGGCGAGCGAACGGGGACCAGCCCUUAAGUUGUAUUGAGAUUAGCGGAACACUCUGGAAAGGGUGGCCAUAGUGGGUGAUAGCCCUGUACGCGAAAAUCCCUUUGCAAUGAAAUCGAGUAGGACGGGGCACGAGAAACCUUGUCUGAAUAUGGGGGGACCAUCCUCCAAGGCUAAAUACUACUGACUGACCGAUAGUGAACCAGUACCGUGAGGGAAAGGCGAAAAGAACCGCGGAGAGCGGAGUGAAAUAGAUCCUGAAACCGUAUGCGUACAAGCAGUGGGAGCCCACUUUGUUGGGUGACUGCGUACCUUUUGUAUAAUGGGUCAGCGACUUAUUUUCAGUGGCGAGCUUAACCGAAUAGGGGAGGCGUAGCGAAAGCGAGUCUUAAUAGGGCGUCUAGUCGCUGGGAAUAGACCCGAAACCGGGCGAUCUAUCCAUGGGCAGGUUGAAGGUUGGGUAACACUAACUGGAGGACCGAACCGACUACCGUUGAAAAGUUAGCGGAUGACCUGUGGAUCGGAGUGAAAGGCUAAUCAAGCUCGGAGAUAGCUGGUUCUCCUCGAAAGCUAUUUAGGUAGCGCCUCAUGUAUCACUGUAGGGGGUAGAGCACUGUUUCGGCUAGGGGGUCAUCCCGACUUACCAAACCGAUGCAAACUCCGAAUACCUACAAGUGCCGAGCAUGGGAGACACACGGCGGGUGCUAACGUCCGUCGUGAAAAGGGAAACAACCCAGACCGUCAGCUAAGGUCCCAAAGUCAUGGUUAAGUGGGAAACGAUGUGGGAAGGCUUAGACAGCUAGGAGGUUGGCUUAGAAGCAGCCACCCUUUAAAGAAAGCGUAAUAGCUCACUAGUCGAGUCGGCCUGCGCGGAAGAUGUAACGGGGCUCAAACCAUGCACCGAAGCUACGGGUAUCAUCUUUUGAUGAUGCGGUAGAGGAGCGUUCUGUAAGCCUGUGAAGGUGAGUUGAGAAGCUUGCUGGAGGUAUCAGAAGUGCGAAUGCUGACAUGAGUAACGACAAUGGGUGUGAAAAACACCCACGCCGAAAGACCAAGGUUUCCUGCGCAACGUUAAUCGACGCAGGGUUAGUCGGUCCCUAAGGCGAGGCUGAAAAGCGUAGUCGAUGGAAAACAGGUUAAUAUUCCUGUACUUCUGGUUAUUGCGAUGGAGGGACGGAGAAGGCUAGGCCAGCCUGGCGUUGGUUGUCCAGGUUUAAGGUGGUAGGCUGAGAUCUUAGGUAAAUCCGGGAUCUUAAGGCCGAGAGCUGAUGACGAGUGUUCUUUUAGAACACGAAGUGGUUGAUGCCAUGCUUCCAAGAAAAGCUUCUAAGCUUCAGGUAACCAGGAACCGUACCCCAAACCGACACAGGUGGUUGGGUAGAGAAUACCAAGGCGCUUGAGAGAACUCGGGUGAAGGAACUAGGCAAAAUGGCACCGUAACUUCGGGAGAAGGUGCGCCGGUGGAGGUGAAGCAUUUACUGCGUAAGCCCCUGCCGGUCGAAGAUACCAGGCCGCUGCGACUGUUUAUUAAAAACACAGCACUCUGCAAACACGAAAGUGGACGUAUAGGGUGUGACGCCUGCCCGGUGCCGGAAGGUUAAUUGAUGGGGUUAGCGCAAGCGAAGCUCUUGAUCGAAGCCCCGGUAAACGGCGGCCGUAACUAUAACGGUCCUAAGGUAGCGAAAUUCCUUGUCGGGUAAGUUCCGACCUGCACGAAUGGCGUAACGAUGGCGGCGCUGUCUCCACCCGAGACUCAGUGAAAUUGAAAUCGCUGUGAAGAUGCAGUGUAUCCGCGGCUAGACGGAAAGACCCCGUGAACCUUUACUAUAGCUUUGCACUGGACUUUGAAUUUGCUUGUGUAGGAUAGGUGGGAGGCUUUGAAGCGUGGACGCCAGUCUGCGUGGAGCCAACCUUGAAAUACCACCCUGGCAACUUUGAGGUUCUAACUCAGGUCCGUUAUCCGGAUCGAGGACAGUGUAUGGUGGGUAGUUUGACUGGGGCGGUCUCCUCCUAAAGAGUAACGGAGGAGUACGAAGGUGCGCUCAGACCGGUCGGAAAUCGGUCGUAGAGUAUAAAGGCAAAAGCGCGCUUGACUGCGAGACAGACACGUCGAGCAGGUACGAAAGUAGGUCUUAGUGAUCCGGUGGUUCUGUAUGGAAGGGCCAUCGCUCAACGGAUAAAAGGUACUCCGGGGAUAACAGGCUGAUACCGCCCAAGAGUUCAUAUCGACGGCGGUGUUUGGCACCUCGAUGUCGGCUCAUCACAUCCUGGGGCUGAAGCCGGUCCCAAGGGUAUGGCUGUUCGCCAUUUAAAGUGGUACGCGAGCUGGGUUUAGAACGUCGUGAGACAGUUCGGUCCCUAUCUGCCGUGGACGUUUGAGAUUUGAGAGGGGCUGCUCCUAGUACGAGAGGACCGGAGUGGACGAACCUCUGGUGUUCCGGUUGUCACGCCAGUGGCAUUGCCGGGUAGCUAUGUUCGGAAAAGAUAACCGCUGAAAGCAUCUAAGCGGGAAACUUGCCUCAAGAUGAGAUCUCACUGGAACCUUGAGUUCCCUGAAGGGCCGUCGAAGACUACGACGUUGAUAGGUUGGGUGUGUAAGCGCUGUGAGGCGUUGAGCUAACCAAUACUAAUUGCCCGUGAGGCUUGACCAUAUAACACCCAAGCAAUU
This 2918-nucleotide ribosomal RNA is filed under the name Pseudomonas syringae. Its description in RNAcentral is "23S ribosomal RNA". It matches the Rfam family "Bacterial large subunit ribosomal RNA". Lineage: Bacteria; Pseudomonadati; Pseudomonadota; Gammaproteobacteria; Pseudomonadales; Pseudomonadaceae. RNAcentral also lists the same sequence under 1 other name. The record is from RNAcentral.